GGAGAGGUGGCAGAGUGGUUUAAUGCGGCUGUCUUGAAAACAGCUGGGCGAUGAGCCCCGGGGGUUCGAAUCCCUCCCUCUCCG
RNAcentral lists this transfer RNA (84 nucleotides) under Thermobaculum terrenum ATCC BAA-798. It matches the Rfam family "tRNA". Rfam says of the family: Transfer RNA (tRNA) molecules are approximately 80 nucleotides in length. Their secondary structure includes four short double-helical elements and three loops (D, anti-codon, and T loops). Lineage: Bacteria; Bacillati; Chloroflexota; Chloroflexia; Thermobaculales (SeqCode); Thermobaculaceae (SeqCode). The record is from Rfam by way of RNAcentral.